UGAGGAAUAUUGGUCAAUGGACGGAAGUCUAAACCAGCCAAGUAGCGUGCAGGAUGACGGCCCUAUGGGUUGUAAACUGCUUUUGUAUGGGGAUAAAGUUAGGGACGUGUCCCUAUUUGCAGGUACCAUACGAAUAAGGACCGGCUAAUUCCGUGCCAGCAGCCGCGGUAAUACGGAAGGUCCAGGCGUUAUCCGGAUUUAUUGGGUUUAAAGGGAGCGUAGGCUGGAGAUUAAGUGUGUUGUGAAAUGUAGACGCUCAACGUCUGAAUUGCAGCGCAUACUGGUUUCCUUGAGUACGCACAACGUUGGCGGAAUUCGUCGUGUAGCGGUGAAAUGCUUAGAUAUGACGAAGAACUCCGAUUGCGAAGGCAGCUGACGGGAGCGCAACUGACGCUUAAGCUCGAAGGUGCGGGUAUCAAACAGGAUUAGAUACCCUGGUAGUCCGCACAGUAAACGAUGGAUGCCCGCUGUUGGUACCUGGUAUCAGCGGCUAAGCGAAAGCAUUAAGCAUCCCACCUGGGGAGUACGCCGGCAACGGUG
RNAcentral lists this ribosomal RNA (540 nucleotides) under uncultured bacterium. RNAcentral's name for it is "bacterial SSU rRNA". It matches the Rfam family "Bacterial small subunit ribosomal RNA", at positions 355 to 896 of the family's 1533-position model. The record is from RNAcentral.